This 1340-nucleotide ribosomal RNA is filed under the name uncultured bacterium. Its description in RNAcentral is "bacterial SSU rRNA". It matches the Rfam family "Bacterial small subunit ribosomal RNA", at positions 28 to 1381 of the family's 1533-position model. The record is from RNAcentral.
GACGAACGCUGGCGGCGUGCUUAACACAUGCAAGUCGAACGGUAAGGCCCUUCGGGGUACACGAGUGGCGAACGGGUGAGUAACACGUGGGUGAUCUGCCCUGCACUUUGGGAUAAGCCUGGGAAACUGGGUCUAAUACCGAAUACACCCUGCUGGUCGCAUGGCCUGGUGGGGGAAAGCUUUUGCGGUGUGGGAUGGGCCCGCGGCCUAUCAGCUUGUUGGUGGGGUGAUGGCCUACCAAGGCGACGACGGGUAGCCGGCCUGAGAGGGUGUCCGGCCACACUGGGACUGAGAUACGGCCCAGACUCCUACGGGAGGCAGCAGUGGGGAAUAUUGCACAAUGGGCGCAAGCCUGAUGCAGCGACGCCGCGUGAGGGAUGACGGCCUUCGGGUUGUAAACCUCUUUCAAUAGGGACGAAGCGCAAGUGACGGUACCUAUAGAAGAAGCACCGGCCAACUACGUGCCAGCAGCCGCGGUAAUACGUAGGGUGCGAGCGUUGUCCGGAAUUACUGGGCGUAAAGAGCUCGUAGGUGGUUUGUCGCGUUGUUCGUGAAAACUCACAGCUUAACUGUGGGCGUGCGGGCGAUACGGGCAGACUGGAGUACUGCAGGGGAGACUGGAAUUCCUGGUGUAGCGGUGGAAUGCGCAGAUAUCAGGAGGAACACCGGUGGCGAAGGCGGGUCUCUGGGCAGUAACUGACGCUGAGGAGCGAAAGCGUGGGGAGCGAACAGGAUUAGAUACCCUGGUAGUCCACGCCGUAAACGGUGGGUACUAGGUGUGGGUUUCCUUCCUUGGGAUCCGUGCCGUAGCUAACGCAUUAAGUACCCCGCCUGGGGAGUACGGCCGCAAGGCUAAAACUCAAAGAAAUUGACGGGGGCCCGCACAAGCGGCGGAGCAUGUGGAUUAAUUCGAUGCAACGCGAAGAACCUUACCUGGGUUUGACAUGCACAGGACGCCGGCAGAGAUGUCGGUUCCCUUGUGGCCUGUGUGCAGGUGGUGCAUGGCUGUCGUCAGCUCGUGUCGUGAGAUGUUGGGUUAAGUCCCGCAACGAGCGCAACCCUUGUCUCAUGUUGCCAGCACGUUAUGGUGGGGACUCGUGAGAGACUGCCGGGGUCAACUCGGAGGAAGGUGGGGAUGACGUCAAGUCAUCAUGCCCCUUAUGUCCAGGGCUUCACACAUGCUACAAUGGCCGGUACAAAGGGCUGCGAUGCCGUGAGGUGGAGCGAAUCCUUUCAAAGCCGGUCUCAGUUCGGAUCGGGGUCUGCAACUCGACCCCGUGAAGUCGGAGUCGCUAGUAAUCGCAGAUCAGCAACGCUGCGGUGAAUACGUUCCCGGACCU